GACGAACGCUGGCGGCGUGCUUAACACAUGCAAGUCGAACGGAAAGGCCCUGCUUUUGUGGGGUGCUCGAGUGGCGAACGGGUGAGUAACACGUGAGUAACCUGCCCUUGACUUUGGGAUAACUUCAGGAAACUGGGGCUAAUACCGGAUAGGAGCUCCUGUUGCAUGGUGGGGGUUGGAAAGUUUCGGCGGUUGGGGAUGGAUUCGCGGCUUAUCAGCUUGUUGGUGGGGUAGUGGAUUACCAAGGCUUUGACGGGUAGCCGGCCUGAGAGGGUGACCGGCCACAUUGGGACUGAGAUACGGCCCAGACUCCUACGGGAGGCAGCAGUGGGGAAUAUUGCACAAUGGGCGGAAGCCUGAUGCAGCAACGCCGCGUGCGGGAUGACGGCCUUCGGGUUGUAAACCGCUUUCGCCUGUGACGAAGCGUGAGUGACGGUAAUGGGUAAAGAAGCACCGGCUAACUACGUG
Molecule: ribosomal RNA, 468 nt
Filed under: uncultured bacterium
Lineage: Bacteria
Description: partial 16S ribosomal RNA
Rfam family: Bacterial small subunit ribosomal RNA
Source: RNAcentral